UACAAGUAGAGGUGCACAUGACACUGGUAAAAGUUGGAGUAGCCAUACUGUGAAGACUUUGAAGAGGGAUUGUGCCGAAAUGGUAAAGCUGGACACUUUGCUGUUGGGACUUCGUUUAAGAGAUGAAGUACUGUCAUGAUUAUCAUGGUGCGCUACAU
RNAcentral lists this non-coding RNA (158 nucleotides) under Nosocomiicoccus massiliensis. RNAcentral describes it as "Lysine riboswitch". It matches the Rfam family "Lysine riboswitch aptamer". From Rfam's summary of the family: Riboswitches are metabolite binding domains within certain messenger RNAs that serve as precision sensors for their corresponding targets. Allosteric rearrangement of mRNA structure is mediated by ligand binding, and this results in modulation of gene expression. The record is from RNAcentral. Lineage: Bacteria; Bacillati; Bacillota; Bacilli; Caryophanales; Staphylococcaceae.